CCCUUAGAGUUUGAUCCUGGCUCAGAACGAACGCUGGCGGCGUGGAUAAGACAUGCAAGUCGAACGGGACAGUUUGGUAGCAAUAUUGAACUGUUCAGUGGCGAACGGGUGCGUAACACGUGGGUCACAUUCCGGGAAGUGAGAAAUAGCCCAGGGAAACUUGGAUUAAUAUCUCAUGUGGUCGCAAGACUAAAGGCGCAAGCCGCUUCCUGAUUGGCCCGCGGCCUAUCAGCUUGUUGGUGAGGUAAUGGCUCACCAAGGCGACGACGGGUAGCUGGUCUGAGAGGACGACCAGCCACACUGGAACUGAGACACGGUCCAGACACCUACGGGUGGCAGCAGUCGAGAAUCUUUCACAAUGGGGGAAACCCUGAUGGAGCGACGCCGCGUGGAGGAUAAGGUCUUCGGAUUGUAAACUCCUGUCAUGCGAGAACAAAGCCCGCAAGGGUCUGAUAGUAUCGCAAGAGGAAGAGACGGCUAACUCUGUGCCAGCAGCCGCGGUAAUACAGAGGUCUCAAGCGUUGUUCGGAAUCACUGGGCGUAAAGGGUGCGCAGGCCGCGCGGGCAGUCAAAUGUGUAAUUCAGGGGCUCAACCCCUGCACUGCGCUUGAUACUUCCGUGCUAGAACUUUGGAGAGGAGUCUGGAAUUCUCGGUGUAGCAGUGAAAUGCGUGGAUAUCGAGAAGAACACUAAGGGCGUAGGCAAGACUCUGGACAAAUGUUGACGCUCAAGCACGAAAGCUAGGGUAGCGAACGGGAUUAGAUACCCCGGUAGUCCUAGCUGUAAACGUGCA
Molecule: ribosomal RNA, 793 nt
Filed under: uncultured bacterium
Lineage: Bacteria
Description: bacterial SSU rRNA
Rfam family: Bacterial small subunit ribosomal RNA
Source: RNAcentral